GAUGAACGCUGGCGGCGUGCCUAAUACAUGCAAGUCGAGCGAAUGGAUUAAGAGCUUGCUCUUAUGAAGUUAGCGGCGGACGGGUGAGUAACACGUGGGUAACCUGCCCAUAAGACUGAGAUAACUCCGGGAAACCGGGGCUAAUACCGGAUAACAUUUUGAACCGCAUGGUUCGAAAUUGAAAGGCGGCUUCGGCUGUCACUCAUGGAUGGACCCGCGUCGCAUUAGCUAGUUGGUGAGGUAACGGCGCACCAAGGCAACGAUGCGUAGCCGACCUGAGAGGGUGAUCGGCCACACUGGGACUGAGACACGGCCCAGACUCCUACGGGAGGCAGCAGUAGGGAAUCUUCCGCAAUGGACGAAAGUCUGACGGAGCAACGCCGCGUGAGUGAUGAAGGCUUUCGGGUCGUAAAACUCUGUUGUUAGGGAAGAACAAGUGCUAGUUGAAUAAGCUGGCACCUUGACGGUACCUAACCAGAAAGCCACGGCUAACUACGUGCCAGCAGCCGCGGUAA
This 515-nucleotide ribosomal RNA is filed under the name uncultured bacterium. Its description in RNAcentral is "partial 16S ribosomal RNA". It matches the Rfam family "Bacterial small subunit ribosomal RNA", at positions 28 to 523 of the family's 1533-position model. The record is from RNAcentral.